CUUUAUAUUAUGUGACAUACAUAAAGCCAUUGCCUUAAAAUGGGCAGAGCAGUCUCCCUUCACAGGAGAUUAAGUUUCUUUUCAUUUACCUUUCUACUCUUCAAAAGAAUUCUUCCCCAUUAACUCACCCUCCUUUUCUUCCCUCGUGGUUUCAAACUCUGAAAUAAUUAACUCAUGUUUUUAAAGAAGAAAAUGCUUCUAUUAACCCUUUGAUUGUAUGAAUCAUUUGAAAAUGUUGUGCUAUUCUCACUUUCUCUACCUUUUUCACUUUUUUCUCUCUUGUUCUUUUUUUCUCUUUAUCUUUGUUCAUCAUUUAAGACAGGAUAGGAUAGAGAUCUCCUCCGUGGAAUGUUCCUUACAGCUACUGAAAGGUGAGUAAAGAUAAGAUUAAUGUCUGGUAGAACGCAGCAUAAUGUCUGUAACACUUUAUAGAACAUCUGCCACUAACAUUUUAUAUUUUAAUCAGUAUAUGUAUCAAAAAUGUAUUGAGCUAUUUGUGUUUCCUAUGUCUCUGCAUGUGCUAUUGAACAAACUUGGCAUUUUCUUAUUACACUACAUCCCUGUAGAGCAGGGAUAGGCAACCUCCGGCACACCCGGUGUUGUGGACUACAUCCCCCAUAAUCCUCUUACACCCAUAAUGCUGGCAAAGCAUCAUGGGAGGUGUAGUCCAAAACAUCUGGAGUGCCGAAGGUUGCCUAUGCCUACUGUAGAGAAACAGUUCUGUGGAGUGAAACUACUGGGUUAUUUACUAAACUAGUUGUAAAUGUAUGUCCAUAAUAACCAAAUUAAAAAAUAUCUUUUUUUUUUGAUGGUUUACAAUUAUGCCCUUUCCUUAUCAGCUCUUGACAAGUUCCAGUUUAGCAAAUAAACUCAUAAAUCUCAAUUUGACAGGUUAUAACUAUUCAGUCCAAUUAUACUGUUAUGGAUAGAAAUGCCCCCUGAAUUAGUAUACAUUGAGCAUUUACUUAUGAUUAUUUAAGAGGUGACCAUUGAAAGAGAUACAGAAAGAAGGAAUUAACAUUUUUUUAUUUUUACUGAUUUUAUUUGUUGUAGGAACAAUGAUUAUGUACAUAUCAACACAACCCUUAUAGGUCUUGCUCAGACAAACAAUGUCAACUGUUACAUAUUGCACUAAUAGCAACUAGUAAUGCUCGUUUUCUGUAACAAUUUUUUAUUAGUUCCAAUUUACCACUGUUUAAUACACAUAGUAUACAAUACAUUAAUAAAACUAAUAUAAGUAUUUUUUCCAACCAGAACACAAAUAAGAUAUUUUCUAGUAAAAUGUGAAGGUUCAUGAACAUUGUUUACUGUGCAGCAGUCUUAGAAUGAUCCUCGACAUCAUAUCAAGUUUAAAAUAAAGGUUACCAUUGCUAGGGGGAUGACCCAUGCUGGAGUCCCUUGUGGGCUCCAAAAUAGACUAUGGUCUGAUUUAGGGACAUUUUCAUUGUUAGCUCAGUGUUUUGAAAAUAUGCAACUGAAAAUUUUAUUCCUCUCUCCAUAUUAAAAAUUGGAAUCCUGACAUACAAUUUACCCCAGGGCUUAAGCCUAGGGUCUUUUUCCAACUUACAAUGCUCCUGGUGUUUUUCAAAAAAAUGUCUGCAAUUUUGUAUAUGUGUGCAUCUGCACAAAUGUACAUGAAAACAGACACCAGGGUGUAACAUUUCAAGCUAGGCUUUAAAAGUUACUCACCACUGUAAGCUUUUAGUGUCCAUGACAUACUUACCAGGGGUUAAUUUCUGCCCUCCAAGGGGCGAUUUUCACUAGCCAAUGGCCAGUUACAAGUAGACAUUUAAAAGCCCUGCACACACAAUAAUUAUAAUGUAGAAUCAGUAAAUAUAUGGAUGGAUGGAUGGACACAGGCGCAUAGAAAACAAAGAUGAGUAGAGAUUUCAACUUUGGAAUGGAACACAAACACACACACAGAGAUUAUAAUUGAUUUUUUGCAGGUAUUGCAGGAAAUUGGUUAUUCAAACCAAUUAUCCAUCCUAUUACUUACUGUGGCAGAAGUGAUGUUUAAUAAUAAUGCAGCCUGCACUGAGCAUUCAUUUGCUGGCUUAGUUUAUUCUGUAAACUUGCUCUUGAGAUAUAUACAUCUUGUUCGGCCAAUAGUUAGAAUUGAACACCAUUCCAAAGUUGAUUAAGGCAGACAGAGAAGCAGAUAGAGAGUUAAACAUGUGGUAGAUAGACAGGCAGUCAGACAGACAGACAGUAGCAAUGGCUCUCCAAGAUCAUGGUAACCUCAUCUAGCAUUAGCAUAGAUGACUUUGGAUUGUGGAUAGUUAAGAACUUCUUAAUUAUUCUUAAUAUGACCUAAAAACUUGAAUCAGGCAAGAAAAAUAUAAAGUUAAAAAAAAUCUGAUCCCACACAAACUUUAUUCAUUUGAGUGUGGAGAAAACACAAGGCAGUUCUUAAUGUUCUACUGAAGAUUAUGGAUGCAUCACUUUGCUAUUAGAGUAGUAGAGUGACCAUCUAGGCAGUACAAUCCAGAAGUAUGGGAUUAACCCCUUAAGGACACAACUUUAGAAAUAAAAGGGAAUCAUGACGGAAUAUUUCCGUCAUGUGUCCUUAAGGGGUUAAUGCUUAACCUGUUCAUACAGAUAACAUGUUUAAUUCUAAUUUUCUAAAUAUUCAAACCUAAGGAGACCAUUUGUUUCAAAAUAUUUUAGUCACACGUGAUACAUUUUAUUUUAGAACUUCCUCCAUUUUUCUAGGAUUUAAGCUCGUUUGAGAAGGGCCAUCCACACCCUCUGUGCCUGUGCAUCCAACUCAACCUGUUACAAAUACUUGCCUGUUAGUCCACCCAUUGCACAGCACUAUAGAAUUUGUUGGCAUUUAAUAAAUAAUAAUCAGUAAUAAUAGAAUACUAUUGAGAUAAGGCUACUGUUAUCUGCUGUGUGGCCAGAAAGCAGUAUAAGGUGUUUUCUACUUUAGAGGUUCAUUGAUCUGGAAUUGCAGGAAUUUAAAAGAUGUAAUCUAAUAUAUAAUUUAUAAGCGUUUAGAUUAUCUGAACUGUGCUGCAUGACAUAUUUAACUUAAGUUAACAUACAAUCUUCCUAUAGCUAAACCCAAUCAAAUGAGGGAUUUUAAAGGUUAGCAGCUAAUUUAUAUGACUGCCCCAUCAUUUUAAACAAGAUAAGGAAUUAUUGAAAAGAAUCUAGAUGCUAACAUCUACGCAGAAUUCUUAAAUCUGUAUAUUGGAGUUUGUGUGUGACUGUGUCCCUGUUUCUGUCUGUGUGUUUGGAUUAUAACAUCAGGAAAUGUUGGUGACAGAUAUACUUUAAUGACUCUAAUACUGCACUUGCAUAAUCAAUUGAUGGCAGUUGUUUUAUAAUAAUAAAAUAAAUUAGAUCAAAUAUCAGCUCUGUGGGUGCCAUGUUUUCCAAGCAUUAAAUUGUUAAAUUAUAUUAAAUUAUUUGCUAUGUUUUUAUAUGAUCUCUUUUGAUAAUAUUUCAAUUUUCUACACUAAUUCUUCAUCACUAAAUUGUGAGCAUUCAUUUAAAUGCAUAGACAUACUUUGUCUCUUCUGAGUCUACACACACACACACACAUAUAUAUAUUCCUAUUAUUAAUUUAAUUUUUCUUGUUAUCUUGAGUAUACACCAUUCCUUAUAUUUCUAAAUUCAAUGGUAUCCAACUUUUUAAAUUGCUAACAAACUUUUAAAAUUUGGGCAUUGUGGGCCAAACUUAAUCAUUGAUUUUCCAUAAUGGUAUUUGCUAAUGUAUUUAAGAAGCCUAUUGCUGUAUAGCCUUUAUAUUGUUUUUACUCACAUUAUUUUAAGUACAAGCAAAAAUUUACAUAUAGAUUUAUUGACAAAGAGUGCUAUCCAUUUUAUGUGGCGCAAUUCUAGUUUGUUAUGUUAAGUUAUUUUGUGUGAACAUAUAACUGGAACAACGUUGAGUAAAUAUAUUUGCAUCAUCUUCAAUCAGUCUGGAAAAUGUCUCACGUGGACAGAUUAUGAGAUCUCAGACAUUAAAGAGAAACUGUUUAUUGACAAAGGAAUAUUGUGAGAAUUAUUUUUGGUCCAUUUCACUUUGCCAGCAUAGCUAUGAGAUAAUUUUGCCUCCAGCAUAUUUAUUUAUUUAUUUAUUUUCUACUCAAUCCAAACUCAGUUUAGACCAGGCUUCUGCCUGUUCCUGAACUGAUAGCUGUUUACUCUGCAAAAGCACGUUUAGACAUGCCCAGGAGAUGAGAAACGUUUUAACUUGGUGCAGACUGCAUAGAGGAAUUCAGACUGCCAGGUGUGUUCUGAACCAUAUAUGGAGUUUGGACGUUCCCCAGCAGCAACAGGCCCAGACAGAUAAAGGGAUAGUCAGAUGCAAAUCUAAGGUUUAGAUUGCUCUAUAACUGGUUAGGAUCUAGUAACUUUUAUAAAUGCAAAUGCAUCUAGUUAAAUUAAUACAGUUCUAAAAUAUCCUAAACAUAGUCUUGACAAUGUAGAUAUUUUGAAAAGCAGAUAUGGUUUACAUAUUUUAAACUUUUUAGUACAUAUGGUAUUGAGCAUUUUAGAUGUCAACUAUGCCAUGUCUAUUUAAGCCAGCUAAAGACACAUAACUGGGUCCAUACCAUGUUAAUGUGUUCCCAUUGGUUGAAAAAGGGACAUCACAUUUAUCGUGACUGCAGUGUAUUGCUUAAAAACAAGUAUUUAUUGCAGCAUCAAUACUUUUUCACACUGCUAAGGAGACAAUUUCACAAUUAUAGUACUCUGGUCGAAAGCAUUUUUUAGAAUUUAUUUUAAAAAUCCUGUUGGAAUCUGUAAUUUUAUUUUUUUAAUUUUUUUUUUAAUUUUUUUUAAUACAUGGAGUCUCAUAAUUUAGUUUAUGGCUUUCCUCUUGCAAAUUAAUGGUGUCAGCAAUAAGCAAAUGAGGCAUCCAGUCUAUCAUAGCAAGACAUGUUUAAAAUUAUGUUCUUUUUUUGGCAGAAUAAAUGACAUUUUGAUUAAUCUGCUUCAAGGUCUUAAUAUUGAAUCAUAUGCGUAAACCCCAUCCCCCCCACCCCCUCCUCCAAAAAGGCUGGAACUUAGCACUCGAUAUACCGGCCUACAUUUAUACCCAAAUCAAUGCUGAAAACAUUAGUAUUAAAGUAUUACUCUGAACAGACAACUGUCGUAGAUAAAGGAUUAUCUUUCUUAUUUUUUUGGUCUUCUUGAAUUUAUUUAUUCCAAAGGAAAUGAGACUAAAAUGAAAUGUUGCUUUAAACCCCUCAUAGGGAUCUUUCUAUGGAAGUAUUGUCACUGUUAUAUAUAAUAAAGAAAUUACUUUCAUUUUAAACAAUUCUUUCUAUUUAAUGCUAACUUAAAGUUAUUACUGACGUCCGCAAUACUGGCUCUGUUCAUAUUAAAACUGUGCUAUUAAUAUGGUCAUUGGGGUGCAAAAUUUAAUCAUUAAAAGAUUCCCGCCAGCAUGCAGACUGUUUAGUAAUAUUAGAUGGGUAUCCGAACUGUUAUUUCUUAAUAACUUUCAGUGUAUAAUUCUAUUGUUUUUUAUAUUUUUUUCUAGAUGGUGUGUAACUGAAAAAAAUGUCUACUACUGCCUGGUAAUUAUUACUUCGAGAUCAGAGCAAAAUCAGGAUUCUUCUAGCUGUGACUCGAGACACAAGAUGGAGCACACAAAAAGAGACACAAGAUGGAGCACACAAAAAUCCACUAAGCCCCAUUACCAAUAAAUUUUAUUUUGCUGGGGAUUUUUCUUUUUACUCUAUGAAAGAAUGAUAGCCCAAUGACCUGAGACUCAUGCGUACAACCAACUUUCUGACAGCUUCAACUUGGUGGGUUUAACAAGUGAUCCACAUGUCCUACUGUCCUUCAUUCCACCGGAGUCUGUUUCAUACAUAACCAGAUUUCAGUGGGGUGAAGCACAAGAGGCGUGUUACAGCAUCAACACAACAGUAAAAAAAACUUUAAAAAAAAGUCUGCUGUGAUUAUGGCAGCCAUCUUUAAUUGGUUUACUAUCUAAUACUGAAUUAUUUGGUACUUACAAUGUCUAAAAUGGAAAUAUUUAAUGGUAUGUGAAUGUGUGUUUUUUUACAGUUAAAUAUACCCAAUGUGGAUGACAUGUUUAUUAUUUUGUCAUUUGUUUUUUGCUAGAUUCAAGGAUAUAUUUUUAUAUCAAUCCAACACAGCAUUGUGAAAAACCUGUUAAAAUGGUUAUUGUUAAAAUGACAAAAAAAUUUGAUUAUAUGUUUGAUUUAAAAACACAAUACCACAAAUCAUUUUCAAAAUGAUGGAUGUUGAAGUUGAGAUAUCAUUCUUAUGCAGUUUGAUAAACAAUCACUAGGUUUUGAAAAGUUAAGUCUAAAUUUGAUCUAUGUGGAUAGAUCACUUGCUAUAAUGUUACCGUUUUUUUUAAACGGACUAUACCUGGAAUUCUAAAUGCAAGCAAAACAACCAUAGUGUAAAGCUGAUGUGAAUAUUUGUUUGCACAAAACAGACCUUUUUGGAGAAGCUUCGUUGUUAAACUUGCAAAUUCUAUAAAAUUACAUUUUAUUUUAUUUUCUGACAUUAUGGCUUUUUGUCUAAUCGAGGAUGAAUUUAGAGUCUAUGGUGCACUAAAGAAAGAAUUCAAAGUGAAUUGAAAGUGAAUUCCAAAUGUAAGACUAGAGAAGCCGAACUGAAUGCAUAGCUGACUAGGGAGCUCUUCCAGUUUGGAUAUUUUGAACCUAAUUUUGAAAUUCACUUUGACUUCUCACUUUAGUGCAUAACCCUUUAAAUCAGCGGUGCCCAAAAGGUAGAUCCCCAGAUGUUAUAGAAUACAACUCCCAUGAUGCUUUGUAUGCCUUUAGAAUCAUCUAAGGAUCUACUUGUUGGGCACCCCUGCUUUAAAUGAAAAGAUAAUGCAGGAAAUUGUGGUAAUUUGAUUUAUAGUUGAGUAGUCCACAUACUUUUACAUUUUACCAAAACAUUGCUUUUAUCUAACAUUUGCAUAAUACAACUGAUGUCAUAUCUGUAUUAUUUUACGAUAAGCUUAUUAAACCAGUUCUCUAUAUUACUACAGAGACAGGUAGGGGGCAACGCUGAAACAACAAGACACUAAUGGUCAAGAAAAAUCAUGGGUGUUUGAUGGUAUAAGACUGACAAUACAAAGUAAAGUACCGUUUGGGUUAUAUCCUUGGGCAAAUGACCCAUAAAACCCUUUAUCUUUGUUGUUUUUAAUCCUGGGUUCCUGUUAUAUGAAUUUUAUUUAUUAUGAAUGGAAGAUGUCACUAAAGAAAUAAAAAAACUCUAAAAUACUAUUGUUACUGACAUUUAUGCUUCACAGUGAUAAAAAACAUACAGAAAAAAAUGUAAUUAGUCUAAUCUUGUCAGUAUCAUUAUCUUGCUAUCUGAUAAUGUUGCCUUAUUUAAUAAUGGAUUCUGCAAUAUAACAUUUAUACGAUACACAAUGUAUUAAUAUUUUUUAUUUUGUUUACAAAAUGUUUUCCAGAAAGUAGUAAUAUGAAAUGUAUCUUGCUUUCAAGUAUAUGCAAAAGAAAAGAAAAAAAGUUAAUGUAUAUGCCAAUAUUGAAGACAUUAUUAAAGGAACACUGUCAUUUAUUCUGUAAUGGUUCUGGUGCCAGUAGUGGCCAUGGGCCUCCCCUACCUUCCAUUGUAAGAAGUCAAACAUUUUUGGACUAAUUGAUUUCUUACCUAGGGUCCACCAUGUGCUGCUUCCUGACUCCACUACAAUCAUCUGAGAGCCGGAUGUUCAUUUGCAGGGUUUUCUGUUAAUGCAGGGGAAAAGGAUGCAAGAGCUCAGGAGAGUUAAUGUCAGUUAAUGCGGAUUAACUUCCUGUUCUCAGGAGAUUGUAGUGGAGACAGGGAGCAACACCCAGCAGAGCCCAGGUAAAAAGUCAGAUUGUUCAAAAAUGCAAAUGUGACAGGGCACUAGCUCAGUAGAAGUGCUGAUUUCAAAAGACGGUGUUGCUAGGUUAUAGAAUAGAGGUGAUUUAAUUAGUUUAUUUAACAGGUAUUGGGAGUUAAAGUUGGCUUAGGCAACUCCUUAGAUGAAGUUGUUAUGGUGUAUAAACUGUCCCUUUCAAUUUUAAUUUAGCCUUGAAUUCUCUUUUAGUGAAUAACCCGGACAUACUUUUGCAAAGUACUGUUUGAAGCCUGCUCAUACUUCUCCGUCUGUUCAGCAAUUUGGCUAAUCACACGUCUGAAAUUAUUACAAGAUUAAUGGGAAUAACUUAUUAGGUUUUGAAAUUGUUCUUGUGUAACUUUGACAGCUUGAUGGCACAAUCUGGGAGGCUUCUGGCAUUCCGUUUGUUGACAGACACAGUCACCCUGCAAUACAGUUGAAAAGGUUUUCUUCAAAUAACAUUUUUUGCAGUUCAUGAAUACACCAUAAUAAAUAGUAAAAACGUCCUAAAUUAUUAUUACUUAUUUUCUAUCUAAAAAUACAGAAUUAUAUUUUACUGUUAUUCAUAUUCUGUAAUCAGAAGUAGAAAUGAAAAUACAUACUCAUACAUGAAUCUGUCUGCUCUUCCAUUGCUUUUAGACACGCUAACUUUUGCUAAUGUUGCAUCUCAGCUGUUGGGAAGGAGAGGUCCAAUGGUACAGUGCUUGUUGCAUUAGCAGGUGAAAUUUUAGAUCUGUAACUAGCACAUAUCACAAACAACUGGGAUUGCAAUAU
RNAcentral lists this long non-coding RNA (8608 nucleotides) under Pelobates cultripes (western spadefoot toad). The stretch from base 5791 to 5864 matches the Rfam family "mir-205 microRNA precursor family". Lineage: Eukaryota; Metazoa; Chordata; Amphibia; Anura; Pelobatidae. The record is from RNAcentral.